RNAcentral lists this small RNA (671 nucleotides) under Pongo abelii (Sumatran orangutan). RNAcentral's name for it is "processed transcript". The record is from RNAcentral. Lineage: Eukaryota; Metazoa; Chordata; Mammalia; Primates; Hominidae.
GUGACGCACUGGCACAGCCCCUACUUCUUCGCCUACUUCCCCACUGCCAGCUCGUACCCGGCCAUGCUAGCAGACAUGCUGUGCGGGGCCAUUGGCUGCAUCGGCUUCUCCUGGGCGGCAAGCCCAGCAUGCACAGAGCUGGAGACUGUGAUGAUGGACUGGCUCGGGAAGAUGCUGGAACUACCAAAGGCAUUUUUGGCUGAGAAAGCUGGAGAAGGGGGAGGAGUGAUCCAGGGAAGUGCCAGCGAAGCCACCCUGGUGGCCCUGCUGGCCGCUCGGACCAAAGUGAUCCAUCGGCUGCAGGCAGCGUCCCCAGAGCUCACACAAGCCGCUAUCAUGGAGAAGCUGGUGGCUUACUCAUCCGAUCAGGCACACUCCUCAGUGGAAAGAGCUGGGUUAAUUGGUGGAGUGAAAUUAAAAGCCAUCCCCUCAGAUGGCAACUUCGCCAUGCGUGCGUCUGCCCUGCAGGAAGCCCUGGAGAGAGACAAAGCGGCUGGCCUGAUUCCGUUCUUCUUACUUCCCCAGUGUAAUGUGGAAGGACUGACAUGGCUCAAAGUUAGCACACAGAGCAAGGUGACAGCCAAGACAUUUUGAAGGAUGCAAAAAGAGUCUGCCAGUGGAUCAAGGUGUACCUGCCAUCUUAUCCCAAACGUCUUAUCUUUCUCCAUUGC